Molecule: transfer RNA, 85 nt
Filed under: Bryobacteraceae bacterium
Lineage: Bacteria; Pseudomonadati; Acidobacteriota; Terriglobia; Bryobacterales; Bryobacteraceae
Description: tRNA-Leu
Rfam family: tRNA
About the family: Transfer RNA (tRNA) molecules are approximately 80 nucleotides in length. Their secondary structure includes four short double-helical elements and three loops (D, anti-codon, and T loops).
Source: RNAcentral
GCGAACGUGGCGGAACCGGCAGACGCACCAGACUUAGGAUCUGGCGGGGCAACCCGUGAGGGUUCGAAUCCCUCCGUUCGCACCA